RNAcentral lists this ribosomal RNA (443 nucleotides) under uncultured bacterium. RNAcentral describes it as "partial 16S ribosomal RNA". It matches the Rfam family "Bacterial small subunit ribosomal RNA", at positions 338 to 795 of the family's 1533-position model. The record is from RNAcentral.
CCUACGGUGUGCUGCAGUGGGGAAUAUUGGGCAAUGGGCGCAAGCCUGACCCAGCAACGCCGCGUGAAGGAAGAAGGCCCUAGGGUUGUAAACUUCUUUUAUUCGGGACGAAACAAAUGACGGUACCGAAUGAAUAAGCCACUGCUAACUACGUGCCAGCAGCCGCGGUAAUACGGAGGUGGCAAGCGUUAGCCGGAUUUACUGGGUGUAAAGGGCGUGUAGGGGGGAGAGCAAGUCAGAAGGUAAAUUCCAGGGCUCAACCCGGGAACUGGGUUUGAAACUGUUCUUCUUGAGGGAUGGGGAGGCAGGCGGAAUUCCGUGUGUAGCGGUGAAAUGCGGAGAUAUAAGGAAGAACACCAGUGGCGAAGGCAGCCUGCUAGACAUUAACGGACGCUGAGGCGCGAAAGCGUGGGGAGCAAACAGGAUUAGAUACCCUUGUAGUC